Molecule: ribosomal RNA, 451 nt
Filed under: uncultured bacterium
Lineage: Bacteria
Description: partial 16S ribosomal RNA
Rfam family: Bacterial small subunit ribosomal RNA
Source: RNAcentral
GAUGAAUGCUGGCGGCGUGCCUAACACAUGCAAGUCGAGCGGCAGCGAGGGGUUCUUGCACCCUGUCGGCGAGCGGCGAACGGCUGAGUAACGCGUAUGAAUUUGCCCCAAAGUGAGGAAUAACUGCCCGAAAGGGUAGCUAAUGCCGCAUAUGGUCUUCGGAUUAAAGGAUUUAUCCGCUUUGGGAGAAGCCUGCGUUGGAUUAGGUUGUUGGUAGGGUAAUGGCCUACCAAGCCGACGAUCCAUAGCUGGUCUGAGAGGAUGAUCAGCCAGACUGGAACUGAGACACGGUCCAGACUCCUACGGGAGGCAGCAGUGAGGAAUCUUCCACAAUGGGCGAAAGCCUGAUGGAGCAACGCCGCGUGAAGGAUGAAGGCCUUCGGGUUGUAAACUUCUUUUAUGAGUGAAGAAUAUGACGGUAACUCAUGAAUAAGCACCGGCUAACUACGUG